Bubalus bubalis (water buffalo) is the source of this 103-nucleotide small nuclear RNA. The record is from RefSeq and is a predicted model, not a curated record. Lineage: Eukaryota; Metazoa; Chordata; Mammalia; Artiodactyla; Bovidae.
GUACUCGCUUCAGCAGCACAUAUACUAAAACUGGAUACAGAGAAGAUUAGCGUGGCCCCUGCACAAGGAUGACACGCAAAUUCCUGAAGUGUUCCAUAGUUUU